RNAcentral lists this ribosomal RNA (2994 nucleotides) under Acinetobacter baumannii. RNAcentral describes it as "23S ribosomal RNA". It matches the Rfam family "Bacterial large subunit ribosomal RNA". Lineage: Bacteria; Pseudomonadati; Pseudomonadota; Gammaproteobacteria; Moraxellales; Moraxellaceae. The record is from RNAcentral.
GUUGUAUAGUCAAGUAAUUAAGUGCAUGUGGUGGAUGCCUUGGCAGUCAGAGGCGAUGAAAGACGUGAUAGCCUGCGAAAAGCUCCGGGGAGGCGGCAAAUAUCCUUUGAUCCGGAGAUGUCUGAAUGGGGGAACCCACCUACUUUAAGGUAGGUAUUGCAACAUGAAUACAUAGUGUUGCAAGGCGAACGAGGGGAAGUGAAACAUCUCAGUACCCUUAGGAAAAGAAAUCAAUUGAGAUUCCCUCAGUAGCGGCGAGCGAACGGGGAUCAGCCCAUUAAGUUAUGUGUGUUUUAGUGGAACGCUCUGGGAAGUGCGAACGUAGAGGGUGAUAUUCCCGUACACGAAAGGGCACACAUAAUGAUGACGAGUAGGGCGAGGCACGUGAAACCUUGUCUGAAUAUGGGGGGACCAUCCUCCAAGGCUAAAUACUCCUGACUGACCGAUAGUGAACCAGUACCGUGAGGGAAAGGCGAAAAGAACCCCUGUGAGGGGAGUGAAAUAGAUCCUGAAACCGCAUGCAUACAAGCAGUGGGAGCACCUUCGUGGUGUGACUGCGUACCUUUUGUAUAAUGGGUCAGCGACUUAUAUUCAGUAGCAAGGUUAACCGUAUAGGGGAGCCGUAGAGAAAUCGAGUCUUAAUAGGGCGUUUAGUUGCUGGGUAUAGACCCGAAACCAGGCGAUCUAUCCAUGAGCAGGUUGAAGGUUGGGUAACACUAACUGGAGGACCGAACCCACUGUCGUUGAAAAGCCAGGGGAUGACUUGUGGAUAGGGGUGAAAGGCUAAUCAAGCCUGGUGAUAGCUGGUUCUCCCCGAAAGCUAUUUAGGUAGCGCCUCGGACGAAUACCAUAGGGGGUAGAGCACUGUUUCGGCUAGGGGGUCAUCCCGACUUACCAAACCGAUGCAAACUCCGAAUACCUAUGAGUACUAUCCGGGAGACAGACUGCGGGUGCUAACGUCCGUAGUCAAGAGGAAAACAAUCCAGACCGCCAGCUAAGGCCCCAAAAUCAUAGUUAAGUGGGAAACGAUGUGGGAAGGCAUAGACAGCUAGGAGGUUGGCUUANNNNNNNNNNNNNNNNNNNNNNNNNNNNNNNNNNNNNNNNGAAGCAGCCACCCUUUAAAGAAAGCGUAAUAGCUCACUAGUCGAGUCGGCCUGCGCGGAAGAUGUAACGGGGCUAAAACUAUGUGCCGAAGCUGCGGAUGUAUACUUUGUAUACGUGGUAGGGGAGCGUUCUGUAAGCCGAUGAAGGUGUGUUGAGAAGCNNNNNNNNNNNNNNNNNNNNNNNNNNNNNNNNNNNNAUGCUGGAGGUAUCAGAAGUGCGAAUGCUGACGUGAGUAACGACAAAACGGGUGAAAAACCCGUUCGCCGAAAGACCAAGGGUUCCAGUCCAACGUUAAUCGGGGCUGGGUGAGUCGACCCCUAAGGCGAGGCCGAAAGGCGUAGUCGAUGGGAAAAUGGUUAAUAUUCCAUUACUUCUGUGUAAUGCGAUGAGAGGACGGAGAAGGCUAAAUCAGCCUGGCGUUGGUUGUCCAGGUGAAAGGAUGUAGGCAUGUAUCUUAGGCAAAUCCGGGGUACUCUAUGCUGAGAUCUGAUAGCAAGCUGUACUUGUACAGCGAAGUGGUUGAUGCCAUGCUUCCAGGAAAAGUCUCUAAGCUUCAGUUACACAGGAAUCGUACCCGAAACCGACACAGGUGGUCAGGUCGAGUAGACCAAGGCGCUUGAGAGAACUCUGCUGAAGGAACUAGGCAAAAUGGUACCGUAACUUCGGGAGAAGGUACGCUGUUGUUGGUGAUGGAACUCGCUUCCUGAGCUGACGACAGCCGCAGAAACCAGGCCGCUGCAACUGUUUAUUAAAAACAUAGCACUCUGCAAACACGAAAGUGGACGUAUAGGGUGUGAUGCCUGCCCGGUGCUGGAAGGUUAAUUGAUGGGGUUAGCGUAAGCGAAGCUCUUGAUCGAAGCCCCAGUAAACGGCGGCCGUAACUAUAACGGUCCUAAGGUAGCGAAAUUCCUUGUCGGGUAAGUUCCGACCUGCACGAAUGGCAUAAUGAUGGCGGCGCUGUCUCCAGCAGAGGCUCAGUGAAAUCGAAAUCGCUGUGAAGAUGCAGUGUACCCGCGGCUAGACGGAAAGACCCCGUGAACCUUUACUGCAGCUUGACACUGAACUUUGACCUUACUUGUGUAGGAUAGGUGGGAGGCUUUGAAGCUGGAACGCUAGUUCCAGUGGAGCCGUCCUUGAAAUACCACCCUGGUAAUGUUGAGGUUCUAACUCUGUCCCGUGAUCCGGGACGAGGACCGUGUCUGGUGGGUAGUUUGACUGGGGCGGUCUCCUCCUAAAGAGUAACGGAGGAGUACGAAGGUGCGCUCAGCGUGGUCGGAAAUCACGCGUAGAGUAUAAAGGCAAAAGCGCGCUUAACUGCGAGACCCACAAGUCGAGCAGGUACGAAAGUAGGUCUUAGUGAUCCGGUGGUUCUGUAUGGAAGGGCCAUCGCUCAACGGAUAAAAGGUACUCUGGGGAUAACAGGCUGAUACCGCCCAAGAGUUCAUAUCGACGGCGGUGUUUGGCACCUCGAUGUCGGCUCAUCUCAUCCUGGGGCUGAAGCAGGUCCCAAGGGUAUGGCUGUUCGCCAUUUAAAGAGGUACGCGAGCUGGGUUUAGAACGUCGUGAGACAGUUCGGUCCCUAUCUACCGUGGGCGCUGGAAAUUUGAGAGGAUCUGCUCCUAGUACGAGAGGACCAGAGUGGACGAACCUCUGGUGUACCGGUUGUGACGCCAGUCGCAUCGCCGGGUAGCUAUGUUCGGAAGGGAUAACCGCUGAAAGCAUCUAAGCGGGAAGCCUACCUCAAGAUAAGAUUUCCCUAGGACUUUAUGUCCUCUAAAGAGCCGUUCGAGACUAGGACGUUGAUAGGUUGGAUGUGGAAGCAUAGUGAUAUGUGAAGCUGACCAAUACUAAUUGCUCGUGAGGCUUGACUAUACAACACCCAAGCAGUUG